UACAGAGGGUGCAAGCGUUAAUCGGAGUUACUGGGCGUAAAGCGUGCGUAGGCGGACAUUUAAGUCGAGCGUGAAAUCCCCGGGCUUAACCUGGGAACUGCGUUCGAUACUGGGUGUCUAGAGUGCGGUAGAGGAAAGUGGAAUUUCCGGUGUAGCGGUGAAAUGCGUAGAUAUCGGAAGGAACAUCAGUGGCGAAGGCGGCUUUCUGGCCCGGCACUGACGCUGAGGCACGAGAGCGUGGGGAG
This 245-nucleotide ribosomal RNA is filed under the name uncultured bacterium. RNAcentral describes it as "partial 16S ribosomal RNA". It matches the Rfam family "Bacterial small subunit ribosomal RNA", at positions 524 to 768 of the family's 1533-position model. The record is from RNAcentral.